Long non-coding RNA from Hypanus sabinus (Atlantic stingray), 2326 nucleotides. RefSeq lists it as uncharacterized. Lineage: Eukaryota; Metazoa; Chordata; Chondrichthyes; Myliobatiformes; Dasyatidae. The transcript has 4 exons. The record is from RefSeq and is a predicted model, not a curated record.
ACGAGGCACACCUGAGCAGAAGUUGUUUUGCAGGCAUGAGAAAUCACAGUGAGAGCAACGCUUUUUCACCAUAUGUUAAUGUGAAGAGUGAACAGUAAAUGGUUAAUCUUACUGCGAUCUAAGUAACGACGGUCGAUAAUGUUUAUGCUUUCGUUAGUUAAAGAGUCGCGGAUAGUUUGCAUGGAAGUGUAUUUAAAGUAGUCAAUGGAGCAGUUUUCACCAUAUGUUAAUGUGAAGAGUGAACAGUAAAUGGUUAAUCUUACUGCGAUCUGGUUCGUAUUGACUGUGGUUUAUCUCAACGUUUAAUUCGGCGUUUCGUUACACGCGAAGGAGAACGUUACAGCAUACAAAUGUCACACCUUUUGGCAAGUAUUCUUGCAUGGCAGCAAGAUCUAGAAGGCAUUUGAACCAGGAAGGCUGCAAGUAGAAUGUCUGCCCCUGGAAUUAAUACGGGUAGUAAGACGAAGGAGUGACCCAGAUCAAACACAAUUCAACCCAUUAGUUCUGUUAAAAUAGUUAUCCAUUCCCCACUGUAUGAAUUAUUUUGAAUCCCAGAUGUAUAUCUCACAUCUCCUCUCAUUCUUCUAUGCUUCUGCUGAACUUGUGCCACCUAUUUACAGAAAGUGUAAAUGAAUCAUCUCUGCUUAUCCUCUAAAUGUCUCCAUACUUUGGGAAAUCUCUUUAGCUGAUCCUCACACAUUAAACCUAAGUCUUAUACUAGUUGAUGUUUUCAUCCCAGCAAAAACACCCUGACAAUUUACACUCUCUGUGGCUCCCAUAAUUUUAUAUCAUUCUAUCCAGCCCCAUCAGCCUCUGACACUCCAGAGAAAACAAUCCAACUUUGUCUAACCUCUCCUUAUCACUAAUAUGCCCAGUAAAUGUCUUCUGCACCUUCUCCGAAGCCUCCACACGCUUUCUAUAGUGUGGUGACCAAAACUGCACACGAUACUUCAUAUGUGACCCAAUCAACAUUUUAUACAGCUGCAACAUGACUUCACAACUUCCAUUCUUCCGGAUUUGCGGUUAAGAUGGUGCCUGUGUACAAUGUUCUCUCAGUCAACAUCUUUCAGACAGCUCAUGAAAACGUCUCUUUUUACUUCUUUUCUGUCUGUUUUUCACCUUAAAUGUGUUUCUGGGACUGUUAGAUCCUAUGAUUUAUGUUUUGGAUUUGGACUGAUUAAGCUGUCUCUGAGAAGAUCCCGGGAAGCGAGCGCGUGCUUGAACAGUCUCGAUGUGAAGGAACUUCGAGAUGGAACGUGAAGCGAUGUUCAACGCCAUUACACCGUUUAAAGCAUCUAUUAAUCGCCGAUUGAAGCAUUGAGGCAAAUGCAGAAGGCGAGCAAGAGUUCAAUGCCGACUGCCUUCCUUUUGAUCACUGCUGGAGAAGGAAUCUGUGAGCAGCCAGUCGCUGUGUGGCUCGCUGUGGCAAUGUCGAUGAAGAAACGCAGGACAAUGGAUCAUCUGGACUUCCCCUCUGAGUAAUGCGCAAACCAGACCAGGAGGAAGGGAAAACUUCAUGUAUUAUCUCAAGCUCAUAAGUAUGUUAUGAAAGGUGGUCCACAGAGAAAUAACCUAGCUAGUACCCUACCGUUCUCAGAAGUCAGAGCUGCAUCUCAGGGAUGUAUGCGUCUUGUGGGAGACAAUCGCCACCAUUUCACCACAGAGCGGGGCAUUGCCAGCAAAACAGCAUCCAAUUUUACACCUUCUCUGUGUAAAAGUACAGUAAGAAGACUGUCUUUGUCCUUUCUGGUCAACUUUCAUGAUAAUCUCUCAUCGUUCUACUCACAGAAAAACUCUCAGCCGGAAUGGAGCAGAUUAAACAGUUCCCUGUUCAAUCAUGUCUGUCACUGAUCAGGAUUAAAAAUACAUGCAUAAUCUGCAAUAUGUAAAUGCCUUUCACUUGCCACAUUAGGGGAGCUGCUAUAGUUUUAUUCAAGGACUUCACGCAGCAUGUGGUGACUUCAAUUAAUACAAAAUCUGAUUGCCAUAAUCUAUGUUUUCUGCUGUGCCUGCAGUUCAAUUACAUCAGUACUCUCUUUGAUAAUAUUUGCAUAUCAAAAAUAGAAAUGAAAUAUUUGAGUAGCAUGUAUGUUAAGGAAACAGUGUGAGAAUCUGGGGAUGGCACAGUAGCAGAGCUGUUAGCAUAGCGUUAUUCAUCCUGGGUUCAAUUCUGCCACUGUGUUUAAGUUCUCCCUGAGAGCCCAUGGGUUUACUUUGUAUGCUCCCACAUUCCAAAGACGUAUGGGUUAGUAGGUUAAUCGGUCACAUUUGGUGUAAUUUGGUGACACAAGCUCAUUCAGCUUGAAGGCCUGAUACUGUGUUGUUU